GAUCAUGGCUCAGGAUGAACGCUAGCUACAGGCUUAACACAUGCAAGUCGAGGGGCAUCAUUGGAGUAGCAAUACUCAGAUGGCGACCGGCGCACGGGUGAGUAACACGUAUCCAACCUGCCGCUUACUCGGGGAUAGCCUUUCGAAAGAAAGAUUAAUACCCGAUGGUAUAAAGAGUUCGCAUGUUCUCUUUAUUAAAGAAUUUCGGUAAGCGAUGGGGAUGCGUUCCAUUAGAUAGUUGGCGGGUAACGGCCCACCAAGUCUACGAUGGAUAGGGGUUCUGAGAGGAAGGUCCCCCACAUUGGAACUGAGACACGGUCCAAACUCCUACGGGAGGCAGCAGUGAGGAAUAUUGGUCAAUGGACGAGAGUCUGAACCAGCCAAGUAGCGUGAAGGAUGACUGCCCUAUGGGUUGUAAACUUCUUUUAUAAGGGAAUAAAGUGAGGGACGUGUCCCUUUUUGUAUGUACCUUAUGAAUAAGGAUCGGCUAACUCCGUGCCAGCAGCAGC
This 509-nucleotide ribosomal RNA is filed under the name uncultured bacterium. RNAcentral describes it as "bacterial SSU rRNA". It matches the Rfam family "Bacterial small subunit ribosomal RNA", at positions 15 to 518 of the family's 1533-position model. The record is from RNAcentral.